CAAAUUGUAAUUGGAAGUCAUAGUUCUGGGCCAUUAAAAGAGGUGAGUUUAGCGGAAAAAACUAUACAAUGUCAACAUAUAAGGUGAAGUAAGUUAUCUAACAGAAGUGACCAAAAUUGAGCUAACAAACAAGAGAAACACAAACACUGACACAUGAUGUAAUUAUGUAAUUACAAAAACAAAACAUGAAAGUAACUAAAUAUGUUAAUAACUUUCUAUGUUGUGUAGCUACUGGGUACAUAACACUAUUAAUAACUUGUGUUCAUGUAUAAUGGCUUUGACUGGAGUACUGUCCAGGAUUACUGUCUAGUGAUGGGUAUUAAGAACCAUAAAUUCAAACUAGUCUGACACAUGGUCCCUCUUAAUAUUUAUGUAACGAUUACUGAUUCUAAGAUGGAAAUUUUUUAUUCAAAUUUCUAAGCACCCGUUAAUAAUUGUAUUGCUGUCUGUUUACAUCAUGUGCCUUCUGGUCAUAGGCUGGAAUUUUCAAAAUCCUCUUUAUUUUUCUUUCUUUUCUUUUUUUUUUUUUUUUAACUCUAUAUAUGAAUUAUUCUAAAUUCUUUUUUGGUGGCUACUUCUAAGUUCACCGCCUCUUUCACUUCUUGUGCUUUUGGUGUGCCACAAGGUUCUAUUUUGGAGCCUUUAUAGUUUCUGAUAUAUAUGGUCCUUAUGGUCCACAUUUGUUAUCACUGAUACACAGAUGACAUUUAAUUACAUAUCUCUUUUAAACCUCAAGAUGUUUCUAAGUUCUAGAUCUUGCAUAGGUGCCAAGACUCUAUUAAAAAUUGGAUGGCUCCCAAUUUGCUCUGACUCGAUAAAGAGAAAACAGAAGUACUUGUUUGUGGCCCUUGUGAGAUUUGUGCCUAAAGUAAUGGAAACAUGAGGUCCCUUUUGCAAAAGUGGCGAAGAGACCUAGAGUUACACUAAGAAACUUUUGACUGAGUUUCAGCUUGGAUGUUUGUGUUAAAGAAAGAAAGAACCUCAACAAAAAACAAAACAAAAAAAACCUAACAAAAAACAAAAACAAUUUUUAAUUUCCUUGUAGUUUAAUUUGGGAUAUAACAGUUGUAUUCAUUCAUAGCCAUUUGAAAUGUUCCAAAGAAUGGCACAACAGCAUAUAAAAAUGUAAAGAUAGGCUCUGGUGGGCUUGUUCUAUGUUAGGCUAAAAAGAGUUAAUGAAAAAGCAGCUAAAUGCUAUAUACUGAAUAUAAAAAGGUAGUUGCACAUAAAUAAGGCAACACCAGCAAAAUCAGAAAACUGAUAAAAGGACCAUUUGUUAUAUUAAUAGGUAUGGUUCAGCAUAUUUGGCUGCUUAACUAAAACACCAGCUUCUUUUGAACAGCCUCUCAUUUCUAACACUGCUGGGAUUAACUAAAAUUAAGGUCUAUUGUUUGCUGUCAUUAUCAAAAUGACUCAGAACAAGGUUGGCAUUGAGUUUCAGCACUCUUUAAAAUCUUCCUAAUUAGGGCUUGAUCCCCAC
Molecule: long non-coding RNA, 1480 nt
Organism: Astatotilapia calliptera (eastern happy)
Lineage: Eukaryota; Metazoa; Chordata; Actinopteri; Cichliformes; Cichlidae
Source: Ensembl